UACGUAGGGGGCAAGCGUUGUCCGGAUUUAUUGGGCGUAAAGAGCGUGUAGGCGGUCAGGUAGGUCGGUUGUGAAACCUGGAGGCUCAACCUUCAGAGGUCGACCGAAACCCCCUGGCUAGAGUCCGGGAGAGGAGAGUGGAAUUCCUGGUGUAGCGGUGAAAUGCGCAGAUAUCAGGAAGAACACCCGUGGCGAAAGCGGCUCUCUGGAACGGUACUGACGCUGAGACGCGAAAGCGUGGGGAGCGAACAGG
Molecule: ribosomal RNA, 253 nt
Filed under: uncultured bacterium
Lineage: Bacteria
Description: partial 16S ribosomal RNA
Rfam family: Bacterial small subunit ribosomal RNA
Source: RNAcentral